GGAUUUAUUGCGGAAUGCAGAGUUGGCUGCUGAAGCUGAGAAUGGUUGGGAUAGUGACAUGUCUGCUAUUUUGCUUCUGCUGCAUCUGCUACCACCAUCUGCACAAGGACGAAGGAUGCCGGGUAAGAUGUCUGCAUCUCAAGCAGUGGAUCACCUCAUCAGGUUUCUAAAGGUUGGAACCAGUGUACAGCAGCAUCUUGACAAAAUC
Molecule: non-coding RNA, 208 nt
Organism: Poecilia reticulata (guppy)
Lineage: Eukaryota; Metazoa; Chordata; Actinopteri; Cyprinodontiformes; Poeciliidae
Source: RefSeq, a predicted model, not a curated record